UAACAAGGAUUCCCCUAGUAACUGCGAGUGAAGCGGGAUAAGCUCAAAUUUAAAAUCUGGUAGCUUCGCUGCCCGAGUUGUAAUCUGGAGAAGUGCUUUCCGUGCUGGACCGUGUACAAGUCUCUUGGAACAGAGCGUCAUAGAGGGUGAGAAUCCCGUCUUUGACACGGACUACCAGUGCUUUGUGAUGCGCUCUCAAAGAGUCGAGUUGUUUGGGAAUGCAGCUCAAAAUGGGUGGUAAAUUCCAUCUAAAGCUAAAUAUUGGCGAGAGACCGAUAGCGAACAAGUACCGUGAGGGAAAGAUGAAAAGAACUUUGGAAAGAGAGUUAAACAGUACGUGAAAUUGCUGAAAGGGAAACGCUUGAAGUCAGUCGCGUUGGCCGGAACUCAGCCUGGCUUUUGCUUGGUGCAUUUUCUGGUCGACGGGUCAGCAUCAGUUUUGACUGUCGGAUAAUGGUCGGGGGAAUGUGGCAUCUUCGGAUGUGUUAUAGCCCUCGGUCGCAUACGAUGGUUGGGACUGAGGAUCUCAGCACACCUUUAUGGUCGGGGCUCGCCCACGUUUGUGCUUAGGAUGCUGGCAUAAUGGCUUUAAACGAC
Molecule: ribosomal RNA, 597 nt
Filed under: Postia sp. 2 KUC20131001-22
Lineage: Eukaryota; Fungi; Basidiomycota; Agaricomycetes; Polyporales; Postiaceae
Description: eukaryotic LSU rRNA
Rfam family: Eukaryotic large subunit ribosomal RNA
Source: RNAcentral